CAAUAGCGUAUAUUAAAGUUGUUGCAGUAAAAAAGCUCGUAGUUGGAUUUCUACCGAAGAUAGCCGGUCGGGUCUUCGACCUUGUAUCUGGUUUUGUCUUUGGUAUCCUCAUAGGGAACGUUUCUGCGCUUUAUUGCGUGGUGCGGUAUCUAUGACUUUUACUUUGAGGAAAUUAGAGUGUUCACGGCAGGCAAACGCCUUGAAUAUAUUAGCAUGGAAUAAUAACAUAGGAUCUUCGUCCUAUUUUGUUGGUUUCUAGGGCUAAGAUAAUGAUUAAUAGGGAUAAUUGGGGGCAUCUGUAUCAACGCGUCAGAGGUGGAAUUCUUGGAUUGCGUUGCGACAAACUACUGCGAAAGCAUUUGCCAAGGAUGUUUUCAUUGA
RNAcentral lists this ribosomal RNA (381 nucleotides) under uncultured eukaryote. RNAcentral's name for it is "partial 18S ribosomal RNA". It matches the Rfam family "Eukaryotic small subunit ribosomal RNA", at positions 592 to 976 of the family's 1831-position model. The record is from RNAcentral.